Molecule: microRNA precursor, 173 nt
Filed under: Oryza sativa Japonica Group (Japanese rice)
Lineage: Eukaryota; Viridiplantae; Streptophyta; Magnoliopsida; Poales; Poaceae
Description: MIR812 microRNA precursor family
Rfam family: MIR812 microRNA precursor family
Source: Rfam by way of RNAcentral
AAAGACUGCAGUUUUGCACUAUUCAUAUCCAACGUUUGACCGUCCGUUUUAUUUGAAAGUUUUUUAUAAUUAGUAUUUUUAUUGAUAUUAAAUGAUAAAUUAUGAAUAAUAUUUUAUGUGUGACUAUUUUUUAAUUUUUUUAAUAAAUUUUCAAACAAGACGGACGUGGUUAG